AUGCCUGUCUUUUCUUUCCCAUCCAUCUCCUCUUUAACCAGUGACCUUCAUGUUAAAUCCUGUUUACACACCAGCCCCCCCCGGGCUCCCACACACACAAGCACAUCACCAGGGGCAGAAGGAAGAAUUUCCCCGCAAGGAGGACAGGGUAAAAGAAGGGAUUUCGGGAUUUAUUUCAGCAUGCCACAGAGAUUUUGCAAAUCCCUCCUCGCUUGCACAUUGGAGCCGCCCGUGUGUGUUUGCAGGCAUCAGCAGGGCGGAUAUAUGAAAGGGAGAGGGAUAAGGGACAUAAAACGUGCAGACAGAUGGCUUUUCUCGCUACCUUUACCGUUAAUAUUCGAAGAACCAGACACACAUCGGCAUGCAGACCUGGGCACAGGUAUCGCAUCCUCCCGCGCCUCGGUACGCGAGGCGCCUCGUCGCCGCGCAGCCGAGCACCUCUUCUCUCCGCAAAACUACAAUGCGAUGGCAACACGAACGCUUUACAGCGAGAAUGACAGCCUUGGAGACAAGGCUUCCCGGCUUCCCGGCCCAACGUGCCUCAGUCCGCCAGCAUCCCCGCGCGAUCGCUCCUCGCGCGGCGGCGGCGGGCGAAGCCGAAGCGCGGAGGCUCGGCGGGUUUCGGAGCGAGCCCGAACCGGGGUGUCCUGCACCGCGCCCCAGCCGGGCGCAGGGAUGCAAAGCGGCGAGGAUACAAAGCACCGAGGAUACGAGCUUGCAGAGCGGCGAGGAUGCGAGGAUGCAAAGCGGCGAGGAUGCGAGCCCGGUCACGGCGCCCGCUCACAUCGCCGGUGGGCAGCGGGGACACGUACCGGCGGGCUCCGGGCGAUGCGGCGGCUGCGGGGAGCAAACCCCGCGGAGACCCAMGGCGGGCGGCCCCACGGCUGCGCCCCGCGGGGAGGCACCCGCCAGCCCGCGGGGCCCUGCGGGGGCUGCUGCGCCCGCACCCCUUCGCCUGCCCAAAAAUCCCCGCCAGCUGCAGCCCGCGGCGCUCCGGGCCGGCGCUGCCUCAGGGGCAGGAGCCCCCCGACAGCGCCCUGCGAAACGCACGGGGCGAAGGGGGAGGGACAGAGGGGCGAGCCCGGGGGGCUUCUCCUCCUCCUCCUCCUCCCCCCC
RNAcentral lists this long non-coding RNA (1116 nucleotides) under Apteryx haastii (Great spotted kiwi). RNAcentral describes it as "lncRNA (ENSAHAG00000012408.1)". The record is from RNAcentral. Lineage: Eukaryota; Metazoa; Chordata; Aves; Apterygiformes; Apterygidae.